CUCAGUGCCGUAACUCUUCUGUUCUGGGCGAUACCAAGUUCAAUUUUAACGAAGCUCUUUUAGUUCCAAGAAACAGACACAGCCAGACCAGUCUGAAAAUUUUUAUUUUCUGAAAAAUGUAACUUGUAAGAACACACGUAGAGCAAAAGGGAGAAACUUGGAAAUUUUUACGCAAAAAACACCUAAGUAAAACCAUUCUUGAAAGGACACAUGAACAAAUUGAACCAGUCAGAGGGGAAAGAUCAGGAUGAUGAAGUGACUCAGAAAUCAGAUUAUUCUCUGAAGGACAUACUUAAAACUAAAAGAUGUUGGAUCUCCAAUAUGAAUUUGUGGGAUGUCUGGACACAGACAGAUACACAGGAAGAACAUCACAUAAACAAGAAGACAGAGAUUGGGGUAAUGUUUCUACAAGUCAAGGAUUAACAAAGAUUGCCUGCAAACCACAGAAACCAGGAAAGAGGCCUCAAAGAGAUUCUCACUCACACCCUCAGGAGGAACCAACCUUGCUGACCUUAAUCUCGGACUUCUG
Molecule: long non-coding RNA, 529 nt
Filed under: Homo sapiens (human)
Lineage: Eukaryota; Metazoa; Chordata; Mammalia; Primates; Hominidae
Description: HSALNT0364711
Source: RNAcentral